GACGAACGCUGGCGGCGUGCUUAACACAUGCAAGUCGAACGAUGACGACCGAGCUUGCUCGGUCUGAUUAGUGGCGAACGGGUGAGUAACACGUGAGCAACCUGCCCUUCACUCUGGGAUAACCUCGGGAAAUCGGGGCUAAUACCGGAUAUGAGCUCCUGUCGCAUGGCGGGUGUUGGAAAGUUUUUCGGUGAAGGAUGGGCUCGCGGCCUAUCAGUAUGUUGGUGAGGUAGUGGCUCACCAAGGCGAUGACGGGUAGCCGGCCUGAGAGGGCGACCGGCCACACUGGGACUGAGACACGGCCCAGACUCCUACGGGAGGCAGCAGUGGGGAAUAUUGCACAAUGGGCGAAAGCCUGAUGCAGCGACGCCGCGUGAGGGAUGACGGCCUUCGGGUUGUAAACCUCUUUCAGCAGGGAAGAAGCGAAAGUGACGGUACCUGCAGAAGAAGCGCCGGCUAACUACGUG
RNAcentral lists this ribosomal RNA (467 nucleotides) under uncultured bacterium. RNAcentral describes it as "partial 16S ribosomal RNA". It matches the Rfam family "Bacterial small subunit ribosomal RNA", at positions 28 to 507 of the family's 1533-position model. The record is from RNAcentral.